GGCAGAGAGAGGAAAGAAAACACGCGCGCGCACACACGGUGAUAUCUUGCGGGUGAUGAAUAUGAUAAUUGGACAAGGGACGGGUCCCCUGGGAACAGAAAGUUUUGAGAGAGUUUACUAUUUGUGCAGGAUGACUCGUUGAGCAAAGAAGUCCAAAGUUUUUUGUCUGCAGAAUAAAUAAAUCCUGGGCAAAGGCACAUAGAAAGUCACUGUGACUUUGAAGCCACUGCUUUGCUGUGCCCAAAUGCUCUCUUGGGGACUGGCCUUGGGGAGGAGAUUCAAAGCAAAACCUUCAGAGGAAAAGAAAGAGAGACAUAGAGAAACAGAGACAAGCACCCUCAACAGGCUCUUCAUGCUGCAAUCCACCCUGAGCCUUGGUCAACCCAGGGAGAACCCAGGACACGACCCCGGAUUUUCUCAUAUGGAUCCAAGGUCUGCAAAGCCUCAUCCUCCUGACUUUAUCAUCUCCAGCAUUGUGCCGUAUCAUUUGGUUGUUGAUGGCAAUCACUGCAACUGGAGCUAGACAUCAGGAAAAGAUUCAAUAAAAACACGAUGCCUCUUUUGGGAAGUUCUACUACCUUCCUCUCUUACCACCCUUUCCCGCCCCAUAACUUCUUUCUUCUCCUUUUCAUAAUUAUCUGUGCCAGAUUACUUCAUAUCCCUUGGUAAAAACAUGAAAAUAUGUCUGUUUACUAGUGGACCUCCCUUUGGGUAUCCUUCCUUUUAAAUUAUUUUAUUUAACUUUAUUUAUUUAUUUGAAUUUGACCAGAGAGGGAGAGAG
Molecule: long non-coding RNA, 781 nt
Organism: Tupaia belangeri chinensis (Chinese tree shrew)
Lineage: Eukaryota; Metazoa; Chordata; Mammalia; Scandentia; Tupaiidae
Exons: 5
Source: RefSeq, a predicted model, not a curated record